This is a long non-coding RNA of Scatophagus argus, 474 nucleotides long. RefSeq lists it as uncharacterized. NCBI's taxonomy places the organism in Eukaryota, Metazoa, Chordata, Actinopteri, Scatophagidae. The record is from RefSeq and is a predicted model, not a curated record. The transcript has 3 exons.
ACAGCAAAAGCAGAAGAGUUAAAUUUCUGGUGUUGGCAAAAUUUAGUUAGGAGUAGAGUUAAUUAAACUCUUAACAGAGUCAAAUAUUUUAAGUUUUACUCUCUGGGGACAAAUAGUUGGUGUUAGUAUGGAGUGUCAGAACGGAGUGUUUGUGAAUUAACUCUGUAAGUGUCAGUGAAUGACAUUUUACUCUCUUAUUUUAAACGAUGAACUCCGUACAUGGAAAUGACUCCUCAGGUGUUAACUCAUCAACCCCGCCCCCUCAUACAUGCUUCGGUAGUAGACUACUAACGUAGUCUUUCAUUCUGGGAGCUGCAGAUUGAACUUUUCUCCAGCUGAGAUGAUGUUGUUUGAAAAUGCUGGCAAAGGUGCAAUACGGAGGAGUCCAGAAGUACAUCAAAGUUCCACAGAGAAAUGAAAACUGUGAUUACCUCCAAUUUCUUCAUGAGGUAACAGAAAAAUUUAGUCUGCAAG